This 602-nucleotide long non-coding RNA is filed under the name Vigna radiata. RNAcentral describes it as "long non-coding RNA (VRAD_LNC010274)". Lineage: Eukaryota; Viridiplantae; Streptophyta; Magnoliopsida; Fabales; Fabaceae. The record is from RNAcentral.
UCCACGACAUUCGUUAUGUUCCCUCCCGUUGUCGUUUGGUUUUGUCCUUGGGACCCUCCACCUGUAAGCAAAAAACCUUACAACAUGUGUAAAUGCCCGCGCUUUAAUCAUACACAUUUCAUGUUCCAAUCAAGGGAGCUAAUGUGCAUGAUAAGGGUGCGCUGAGUAGAAGGAGGGUGUUGCGGUGGUGGUAAUGUGACCGGGGGUUGGCUUGGCAGCGGGAGGAGUUGAUGAAGAAGCGUUGAGGAUGGGUGCAUUGAAGAAGUGCAAAUAAUGGUGGAAGAAAGAGAAAAAUAUGGAAAUAGUUAAUGGUGAGAGAAAUAGAAAGAGAGAGAGAAAAGUGUCAGAAAAUGCAGAAGAGAGAGAUGAAAAGUACAGUCAAGUUAACGUCUUUUUGACCUACUUAAUGGAAGAGACCUAAUAACAACAAAAUUAAUAACCUGGGGACCAAAUAACAUCAUUUUUAAAAACGCAAAACAAAAAUUCAACUCCGAAACUUGAGGACUAAAAAGGUAACUAAACCUUAAUAGAGAAUUAUGAAUAAAGUUAUUAUUGAACGAAAACAUUUUAUAUUUACAAGUUAGAAUUUAUUAUAUAAAUCC